AGAAUCAACGCUGGCGGCGUGCCUAACACAUGCAAGUCGAUCGAGAAAGUGGAGCAAUCCAUGAGUAAAGAGGCGCACGGGUGAGUAACACGUGACUAACCUACCCUCGAGUGGGGAAUAACCUGGGGAAACCCGGGCUAAUACCGCAUAAUACCCACGGGUCAAAGGGAGCAAUUCGCUUGGAGGGAGGGGGUCGCGGCAGAUUAGUUAGUUGGCGGGUAAUCGGCCCACAAGACGAUGAUCUGUA
Molecule: ribosomal RNA, 247 nt
Filed under: uncultured bacterium
Lineage: Bacteria
Description: partial small subunit ribosomal RNA
Rfam family: Bacterial small subunit ribosomal RNA
Source: RNAcentral